This is an RNA transcript of Selaginella moellendorffii, 1812 nucleotides long. It is a transcript of the gene named calcium uptake protein, mitochondrial, with no coding region annotated. The record is from RefSeq and is a predicted model, not a curated record. The transcript is spliced from 10 exons. NCBI's taxonomy places the organism in Eukaryota, Viridiplantae, Streptophyta, Lycopodiopsida, Selaginellales, Selaginellaceae.
UUGCAGCGGAGUACCGUGCGGCAUUAUUUAAAAGCUACCUUGCGGCGGAGUACCGUGCGGUACAAUGCGGCAUUUUACCUUGCAGCUCAGUACCGCGCGGUACAGCACGGCAUUUCCUAAAACUCUAGCUUAACAGUGCGGCACGGCUGUCCAAGAGAACUCCAAACACCAUGAACACGGAGAAUGGAACACCAAGGGACAAGAGUGUAUAGAGAGAGUGGAUGAUAGUAGCAUUGUGUUUCUCGUUUAACACCAAAUAUUUGGUCUCGCGCGUUUUUGCGGAAUAUUUUAGGUCGAGAUGGGAUCGAGGGGAGCGGUGAGCAACGCGCUCCUUCGCGCUCUGCGACGAUCGAUCGUAGCGCGUGUCGCGCCCGGCUCGGUAGCAGCGGCUGGAUCGCGCUUAGGUGAGGAGGAGCGAGGAGCUAGAUUGAAAAUGUGGGAGGUUUUCGGGGUUUUGAGUGGCGCUGUGGCGAUCGGCAGCUGGAUCGGGCAAGGGAAAUGCUCGCCGGCGCAUUGCGAGGAGAGCGAGGAAGGGAAAGGGAAGUUCUUGAUGAAAGAGUCUUAUAGACGAAGGGUGUUCUUCAAGUAUGAAAGGCGCAUCAGAGCUUUCAGCCCUCCUGAGAAGGUGUUUGAGUACUUUGCUUCACUCAGAGAAGAUGGGCAAUCUUUUAUGACUCCAUCCGAUUUGAUGCGUGCCGUCGUCCCAGUUUUUCCAUCAAGUGAAUCGAAUGCCACGAGAGAAGGAAGUCUUGGUGGGGAGAGAUCUCCUGGAGAGCUUAGUUGUCCUCCAUCGACGUUUUUCAUGCUUUUCGACACAAAUGGAGACGGGCAAAUAUCAUUUCCAGAGUUUAUAUUUUUCGUUACUCUUCUCAGCCUGCCGGAAGAGAACUUCAAGACGACUUUUAAAAUGUUCGACAUUGAUGGGAAUGACAUGAUUGACAGGGAAGAGUUCAAAAAGAUCAUGAGUAUAAUGAGAUCGCAGACUAGACAAGGCCUUGCGCAGCGAGACGGUCGUCGAAGCAUUGCUGUGAAAACUAGUGGCGACUCUGUUGAAGAAGGCGGACUCGUGCAGCUCUUUUUCGGUGAGGAUGGGAAGAAGCUUUUGAACUUUGAGGAUUUUGUUUCUUUCUUACGUGACCUUCAUGAAGAGAUAUUAAAGCUGGAGUUUUCCCAUUAUGAUUUCAAACGGAAAGGACAUAUCUCUGCUCGCGAUUUUGCGUUGUCCCUAGUUUCUGCGGCCAAUUUGUCCAAGAUAAAUCAGUAUUUGGACCUUGCGGACGCUAUUGAAGACGAUCCCAAGUUUAAAUCCUUGCGUAUCACUUACGAGGAGUUCCGGUGUUUCGCCCAACUUCGAAAGAAACUUCCCACUUUAGCCUUGGCAAUUUCGAGCUUUGGAAAGACGUCAGGCUUAUUGACGAAGUCGGAUUUUCAACGAGCGGCAGCGCAGGUCUGCAGUGUGCCCCUGACUGAGGCUGUGAUAGACGUCGUGUUUUAUAUUUUUGAUCUGAACCGAGACGGGAAUCUGAGCAUGGAAGAAUUUCUAGGUGCUCUGCAGAGGCGAGAGGGAGAUACUGGACAUCCAGCGGAGGCAGGCAUUGUCCAGGUUUUGAAAUGCUGGUGGAACUGUGCGCGUAACUGUCGGAACGAGAAACAGUGGAUGUCGGUUUGAUAGAAUCUGUUACAACAUGAAACGCAGAGUGGAUCUAUAAGGACCUGGAAUCCGAAUACGGUUCAUAUAGUAGGUUUUCCAGAGUUCAGGAUCCAGCUGAACUGACUUGCACUUGCCGCACUGUGAAGCGGCUUGGCUUUCUU